Molecule: unclassified non-coding RNA, 218 nt
Filed under: soil metagenome
Description: partial contains 5.8S ribosomal RNA, internal transcribed spacer 2, and large subunit ribosomal RNA
Source: RNAcentral
AACCUAGCACACCUGCGGUGUGUACCUGCGGAGGGAUCAUUACAAGUGACCCCCGGAUUACCUCCGGGAUGUUCAUAACCCUUUGUUGUCCGACUCUGUUGCCUCCGGGGCGACCCUGCCUUCUGGCGGGGGCCCCGGGUGGACAAAUUCAAACUCUUGCGUAACUUUGCAGUCUGAGUAAAUUUAAUUAAUAAAUUAAAACUUUCAACAAUGGAUCU